UAUCGCUCAUUGGUCAUUCGCGAGUCGACAUUCGCUCAGCGUGCCACCUCAUUAGCGGUUUCCAGUCACAAAAAUGCGAAAUGUGCUUAUUCCGAGAUGCGUUUGGCAAUAUUGUUAAUUGUUUUUGUGUGUAUUGUGAGUGCGAAUGCGGCAGACAUGAUUGUCGGUGAUACGGUUCAUAGGAAGAUGGUGUUUCACCAACGAGUGAAAGAGUUCGCAAUACCGUUUAAGAAAAGAAUCAAGACCUUGACGUAUGUUGAUGUGGAGAAGAGAUUGAUUAAAGGUGUCCAAGUCUUGGACGCAGACUUCUCCCUGGCCAGCGCCAACAUCACGGAGGGAGGCGUCGGGUUCCACCACGUCACCGUGAGGAUGAAGAGCCAGCGCAGCCAUCCACUCAACUACGAGGUGGAGGUCUACGUGUAGACUUAGGCUAUAACGUGCUGCCGCUACAUGAGUUAGUACGGGGCGCUAUUUAAUACGUGACAAAAGUUCUCCGUCGCGCUCUUGAGGCUGCGCGAUGUGAGUGCGCGCGAUGCAAACCUCUUGUCACGUCUUAAAUGCGCCCCGUACUAGCCCUUCUAGAGGAAAAAAAGGUGAAGAAGAGAGAUACCAACAUCAAGAUUACGAGAGAGAUAUUCCCUAGCAGCAAUGAUAAAAUGGGUACAAAGCACAAAAAUGAGGCGGUAUAGAUAGAAUUCAAGUAUGUUAUUUUAGAAUCGGACUCUUGUGAAUCAUUUUAAUUAUAUCCCAUUCAAAGUAUUUCAAAUUUUCAGAGUAAUAAUAAUAUGCUUGAUAAUCUAAUGUCAGAAUAUAGAUAUUUUUGUUUAUUAAAAUUAGUAAGUAUAACUAUAUAGAUUGUUUGUUUCCUAAUAAGUAGGUACAUAGGUAGUACAUAGGUACAUAGAUACCAACUUUGUACAAUAUUGAGUAGAGACUGACCUUUGUACUCGUAUACCUAGUCUAUGUAAGUAAAAUAUAUUAAAACUGGGUCAAACUAUUCAGUUUUCUUGAUUCACUCAUUGGUAUUUUUAAUGUUGUCGUUCUGCUAAUAUAUUGUUAUGUUUACAGUCCAAAGUUCAUAUUUUACUGGAGAAAGUAUUGUAGUGUAUAUUGUACAAAUAGUUACUUUAGGUACUUUAAU
Non-coding RNA from Plutella xylostella (diamondback moth), 1141 nucleotides. The record is from RefSeq and is a predicted model, not a curated record. NCBI's taxonomy places the organism in Eukaryota, Metazoa, Arthropoda, Insecta, Lepidoptera, Plutellidae.